GGAUCAAUUUAUUGGUCGUGCUAUUGUACGUACUGGUAUUAUUGAUUCCUACCUUCUGACGAACCAUGAUGUCAUUAAUUUGGUGUCAUGGGGAAUCAGGACUGUUACUUUGAAAAAAUUAGAGUGUUUAUGGCAGGCCGGAGUGCUUGAAUACAUUAGCAUGGAAUAAUGGAAUAGGAC
RNAcentral lists this ribosomal RNA (180 nucleotides) under uncultured Glomeromycotina. Its description in RNAcentral is "partial small subunit ribosomal RNA". Lineage: Eukaryota; Fungi; Glomeromycota. The record is from RNAcentral.